AGCUUUGCGCAGUGGCAGUAUCGUAGCCAAUGAGGUUUAUCCCAGGCGCGAUUAUUGCUAAUUGAAAACUUUUCAUUCAAGUGUUUUUGCAUAGAGCAAUAGUUU
Molecule: small nuclear RNA, 105 nt
Filed under: Marmota marmota marmota (Alpine marmot)
Lineage: Eukaryota; Metazoa; Chordata; Mammalia; Rodentia; Sciuridae
Description: U4 spliceosomal RNA (ENSMMMG00000010278.1)
Rfam family: U4 spliceosomal RNA
About the family: U4 small nuclear RNA (U4 snRNA) is a component of the major U2-dependent spliceosome. The structure of U4 snRNA from yeast and human has been reported.
Source: RNAcentral